Molecule: ribosomal RNA, 435 nt
Filed under: uncultured bacterium
Lineage: Bacteria
Description: partial 16S ribosomal RNA
Rfam family: Bacterial small subunit ribosomal RNA
Source: RNAcentral
GGGGGGGGCGGGGGGGGGGCGGGGGGCGGGCGGGGCGGGCGGGCGCUUCGGGGUGGGGGGCGGACGGGGGAGUGACGCGUGGGAAUCUGGCUUUGGGUUCGGGACAACCACUGGAAACGGUGGCUAAUACCGGCUGUUCCGCGGGGUCAACUAGAAAUUGCCUGAAGGUGAGCUCGCGUCUGAUUAGCUAGUUGGUGAGGUAAAGGCUCACCAAGGCAGCGAUCAGUAGCUGGUCUGAGAGGAUGACCAGCCACACGGGGACUGAGACACGGCCCAGACUCCUACGGGAGGCAGCAGUGGGGAAUUUUCCGCAAUGGGCGAAAGCCUGACGGAGCAAUACCGCGUGAGGGAAGAAGGCUCUUGGGUUGUAAACCUCUUUUCUUAGGGAAGAACAAAAUGACGGUACCUAAGGAAUCAGCAUCGGCUAACUCCGUG